RNAcentral lists this ribosomal RNA (329 nucleotides) under uncultured bacterium. RNAcentral describes it as "bacterial SSU rRNA". It matches the Rfam family "Bacterial small subunit ribosomal RNA", at positions 568 to 898 of the family's 1533-position model. The record is from RNAcentral.
UGCGCAGGCGGCGCUUUAAGUCAGAUGUGAAAUACCCGGGCUUAACCUGGGGGGUGCAUUUGAAACUGGAGCACUUGAGUGCAGGAGAGGUAAGUGGAAUUCCUAGUGUAGCGGUGAAAUGCGUAGAUAUUAGGAGGAACACCAGUGGCGAAGGCGACUUACUGGACUGUAACUGACGCUGAGGCACGAAAGCGUGGGGAGCAAACAGGAUUAGAUACCCUGGUAGUCCACGCUGUAAACGAUGGAUACUAGGUGUAGGGGGCGAUAGUCCUCUGUGCCGCAGCUAACGCAAUAAGUAUCCCGCCUGGGGAUACGAUCGCAAGGUUGAA